AUGUUCAGUGGCCAUAUUCCGGACAAUCUCACUUCCCUUGCCCGUCUUCAUUAUUUGGACAUAUCAGGCAACAAUUUAACAGGAAGCAUACCAUGGUCACUCUCAAACUUGAAGGCAAUGAUGACCAUAAUAUCCAAGGACACUACAGAGGAUUACAACUUUGAAGAGAGCAUUCCAGUAAUCACGAAAGACCAAAAGCGUGACUAUAGCUUCCAAAUCUACAAGCUAUUGGUGAAUCUUGAUUUGUCCAGUAACAGUUUAACAGGACAAAUCCCAGAGGAGAUAAGUUUACUGAUUGCCCUCACCAAUUUGAAUAUAUCGAGCAAUCAGUUGAUAGGAACAAUCCCAAAUCAGAUUGGUGAUUUAAAGCAUUUGGAAUCCGUGGACCUAUCAUACAACAAAUUUUCUGGUGCAAUCCCAUCAGCUCGACAGAGCACGGAUGACCCGCCACCGCUACGCCCACCAAAGACAAACCACUACAACCCGAGGCUCCGGACCACCGCGUACAAAACAGCACCUCCAAGAAGGAAAGCGACGCCGACGACGCUGCUGCCCGGACAUGUCCUAGGGUUUCCCUGGCACGCGGAGGGAGGUGUCACCGCAUCGGGGCCGAAGACCGCUAAGGAUUUCUCCCGUACUCCAAUCCCCGCCGCCCAACGGACCGGAGCCGACCAGCCAGACCGCCGCCCACCACCAUGCGUCAUCGCGGUUGCGCCGUCACCCACGCCGCCUCACUGCAAACACCAACACGAGGCCAAGAGGACCGGAGAGAAGCGCCCCGCGGAGGGAGAAGCAGCACGGAAACCGAACGGGAGGGAACCACCUCCACCGCCGUCGUGCGGGAGGCCAGAGCCUCCGGCACCGUCGCGGCCCGAAACGGGCCCGCUAAGCCCCGCCGCCACGCUGCAGCAAGCCGGCGAUGGUGCCGCCAAUACCCUGCCGCUCAUCGCCUCUCCCCCGCCUCCCGGAAGCCACGAAGCAGACCCACACCGCCGCCGGCCCUCCCAGGCCCAGAUGGGGCCCGAAGGGCCCAGAUCUGGGCCGAGCGGGCGCCGCCAGAUCGCGCCGCCGCGAGCCCCCGCCGCCGCGCUGGACCGCCGUCGCCUGGGAGCACCGCCCGGGGUUGCCCCGUCCUGCGCCGGCGGACACACGAGAGGGGAAAAGCCAGGGGGCCGCCGCCACCAGCGUCGCCCGGGCCAGGCCCGCAGCGGGCGCCGGCGCCGGCAGCAGAGAGGAAGAGGGAGGGAGAGGCGCGCGGGGGGAAGGCUGGGCGCGGCCGGCCGCCCGCAGGGGCGGCUCGGUCGCGAGAGAGGAAAAGUCCAAGUCGGACGCAAGCAAAUUGUUUGGGUACUUAACCCCCUAGACUAUUAUAAACCGGACAAAUCACCGCCCAGCCUCCACUUUAGCGGUAUGGGACGGUGGUUUUGCAUACGUGGCGCAUGGGUUGGGCCCAUCGUCCGCCCACGUCGGACAGAGGCUGCUGGUGUGACUAAAACGAUGCUCCCGAGCCUGUUCGACCCAAACCCAUUGAAAACAUUUGAAGGUUGUUCCGGCGGCAUAGAUGCAAUAAAGCGAGGUGGAUCGGGGGCAGGAGCUGUCACCGGCCAGUCUGUUGAUGGUUCUGUUAAUUGGAGCAUCAUGGAAUCAACCCAUAAUCUCAAGGAAAACACAUCACAGAUCGAUGAAUUAAUCCUUGCCAUUUCACUGAAUCUGCAGUGCAAAGACCACGGCUACACCCAGAUCGACAACACAUCUUCUCUGCCAUUGGUCACAUCCAUCUAUCUGAGAGGUUGGUGGCACAUCCAUCUAUCUGAGAGGUUGGUGAGGCAGUUCAAUUUGCCUCUCUCUUUACAAUUUUACACCAUCGCCGGAGGCAACGCCCAGGAGGAGGGUCUAAGCUUCCGCUCCUGGAGGAGAUACAUCUUCUCUGGUGUUGACCCCCACGUCUUCUCGGCCGUCGGUGUCGUCCAUCCAUCUCAGAGGUUGGAGCCCGCGCAUGGGCUUGGUCUUGGCGGAGAGGCGGACGGCCUCGAGCAGGCGGAGCGCGUCGGUGGAGAAGGUGCCCCACCCGGCUGCGUACACGGCGUAGAGCGGGACCCGACGUUGACGAUGGCGCCCCUCCCCUUGCCCGCCGUCGCUGGCAUGACGGCGCGCGAGAUCCGCGUGGCCGCCUCCACGUUCACCCGCACCACGGCCUCCCACACCGGGGUCUCCACCCUCGCCGCGCCCAGGGACAGCUCCGUUGCGUCACCGGGGAGGUCGAACACCAUGCUCUUGACUAUGCAGGACGGCGCGCUUGGGGAUGGAAACGGCUCGGACGGGUGGUGCCCGCCGCAAGCGCGAGCGCAUCUCGCGCCGGCACCACCGCUCCUCCUUGGUUUCGGUGGGGAGCGAGCGCAUGGCGGCGAGGGAGGAGGUGCGCACCAGCCGGAGCUUGGCAUGGCGAGGGCGCGCGGCUGCGGGACGGCGGCGCGGUGGCUCGACGCAGCCCCGCGGCCGCAGAAGCGACGCUGCGGGCCGGGACGCGGGCGGAGCUGGCACGAGAGGCGACGCUGCGGGCCGGGACACUGGCGAAGCUGGCACGGGGAGGCAUCAGCCGCGGGCGGCAACGCGGCGGGGAGGCACCGGGGCCACGGGCGGAACAGGGAGAGAGAAGAGGAUGGGGAGAGAGAAGGUGGGGGCCGGGCUGAAAGCGACGGGGGAGGGGGGAGAUGUGGCUGCAGGUGGGCCUUUGCAUGCAUAAACAAACCGCUGACGCUCUCAGAUGCCUCCCUGGGGCUGGGUUUCGGGUGA
This 2793-nucleotide ribosomal RNA is filed under the name Triticum aestivum (bread wheat). Its description in RNAcentral is "partial small subunit ribosomal RNA". Lineage: Eukaryota; Viridiplantae; Streptophyta; Magnoliopsida; Poales; Poaceae. The record is from RNAcentral.